UACGGGGGGGGCAAGCGUUGUUCGGAAUUACUGGGCGUAAAGGGCUCGUAGGCGGCCAACUAAGUCGGAUGUGAAAUCCCCAGGCUCAACUUGGGAACUGCAUCCGAUACUGGAUGGCUUGAAUUCGGGAGAGGGAUGCAGAAUUCCAGGUGUAGCGGUGAAAUGCGUAGAUAUCUGGAGGAACACCGGUGGCGAAGGCGGCAUCCUGGACCGGUAUUGACGCUGAGGCGCGAAAGCCAGGGGAGCAAACGGG
Molecule: ribosomal RNA, 253 nt
Filed under: uncultured bacterium
Lineage: Bacteria
Description: partial 16S ribosomal RNA
Rfam family: Bacterial small subunit ribosomal RNA
Source: RNAcentral